This 456-nucleotide ribosomal RNA is filed under the name uncultured Leptolinea sp. RNAcentral's name for it is "bacterial SSU rRNA". It matches the Rfam family "Bacterial small subunit ribosomal RNA", at positions 910 to 1382 of the family's 1533-position model. Lineage: Bacteria; Bacillati; Chloroflexota; Anaerolineae; Anaerolineales; Anaerolineaceae. The record is from RNAcentral.
UUGACGGGCCCGCACAAGCAGCGGAGCGUGUGGUUUAAUUCGAUGCUACACGAAGAACCUUACCAGGGUUUGACAUGCAAGUGGUAGGAACCGAAAGGCGACCGACCCUUCGGGGAGCUUGCACAGGUGCUGCAUGGCUGUCGUCAGCUCGUGUCGUGAGAUGUUCGGUUAAGUCCGCUAACGAGCGCAACCCUCGCUGUGUGUUACAAGUGUCACACGGUACUGCCGGUCUUAAGCCGGAGGAAGGUGGGGAUGACGUCAAGUCAGCAUGGCCUUUAUGUCCUGGGCUACACACACGCUACAAUGGCCAACACAAUAGGUUGCUAAGCCGCGAGGUGGAGCCAAUCCUCAAAGUUGGUCUCAGUUCAGAUUGCAGGCUGCAACCCGCCUGCAUGAAGAUGGAGUUGCUAGUAACCGCAGGUCAGCUAUACUGCGGUGAAUACGUUCCCGGGGCUU